RNAcentral lists this ribosomal RNA (462 nucleotides) under uncultured bacterium. RNAcentral describes it as "partial 16S ribosomal RNA". It matches the Rfam family "Bacterial small subunit ribosomal RNA", at positions 28 to 507 of the family's 1533-position model. The record is from RNAcentral.
GAUGAACGCUGACAGAAUGCUUAACACAUGCAAGUCAUUGGCGAAGCUGCGCUUGCGCAGUCUAGCCAAGGCGGACGGGUGAGUAACGCGUAAGGAACUUGCCCUGCAGACAGGGAUAACAGACGGAAACGACUGAUAACACCUGGUAUUGUCAGGCUGGCGCAUGCCGGCCUGAUGAAAGGAGACACUGCAGGAGAGCCUUGCGUCCUAUUAGCUAGUUGGUGGGGUAACGGCCCACCAAGGCGAUGAUAGGUAGCCGGCCUGAGAGGGUGAACGGCCACAAGGGGACUGAGAUACGGCCCUUACUCCUACGGGAGGCAGCAGUGGGGAAUAUUGGACAAUGGGGGCAACCCUGAUCCAGCAAUUCUGUGUGCACGAAGAAGGUUUUCGGAGUGUAAAGUGCUUUCAGCAGGGAAGAAGAAAGUGACGGUACCUGCAGAAGAAGCGACGGCUAAAUACGUG